UGAAUAAUAUUUUUGUUUCUACCUUAGAACCUCUCUUCAAAAGUUUACACCCUUGCAUUUUCUUUUAAUUCCAUGGCUCUAGAAGUGUUUUUCUUCUGCUCAUCCAGUCCUUACUUUCCAGGCUAUUAUUUUACUAAUGUUUUUCAUUUUCAUAUGAUAAUAAAAUUCUUCAUGACAUGCAUCCUUUAUUCAGCCCUUCUAUUCUAUCUGAGAUGAUUAGACCUGAUGGCUCGUCUUCAGUUUCUGUAUUAAAUGGCGAAUCCAUGUCAGCUGACCUGGCUCAUGAAUUGAUGGGUAUUCCGGAACUGUUCUAGCUUGGUGUUUUCCUGGUAUCCAUUAGUCAUGUUUUACUGGCGGUAUUAGAGGGAGUUCAUGAUAUUAAUACGUGGCAUCUGAUGCUGACGGAGCCUGCCGAAGAGUUUUUAGCUUCCCCUGUCUUCAUACAUGCAAACCUCAGUCUGUCUAGUUAAGGAUCCUGGCCUGACUCACUCAACUAGCAAGUACUAGAGGCUUGGAGAGUUUAAAUAAGUCACGACUGGUGAGCUACUUAGGCCAUGACAAAUACUAUAAAAUGGGAUGUUUCUUGCCACAUCUGUUUCUAUAUGUGUUAGUAUUAAUUUAUAAACAUGUUGUAUGCAUGUUCAAGGUAUUUGACAAAUAAUAGCCCGCAUAUCAUAAUUAUUUAUCCAUACAAGCCUACUUAGACAUAUCUUAGCUAGACGAACCAUAAUUCAAAAAUGAAAAACUCAAAAUCCAGCUAGUAUGCUCGACUCAAAAUUUAAUUCUUAAGUUAAAGAAAUUUUAAAGUAAUAUUAAAUAUUUCAAAACUUAUAAGUAUUAAUCAAACAACUAAAACUACCAUCCCUGGUAGAUAUCACUUGCUUUCAUCUCUCCCUCUUAAUUUUUUUGA
Long non-coding RNA from Magnolia sinica, 910 nucleotides. RefSeq lists it as uncharacterized. Lineage: Eukaryota; Viridiplantae; Streptophyta; Magnoliopsida; Magnoliales; Magnoliaceae. The transcript is spliced from 4 exons. The record is from RefSeq and is a predicted model, not a curated record.